UGAAUAAAAUUAGCAGCCCAUGUGCAUAUUCCACCAACCAAAAGUGGGUCCCCCCAUAAAGUUAAUAAAAAACCAUUUUAUUUUUCUAAAACUUCAACAAUUCAUAGAAAAUAGCUCGGUUAUCAGAAAAAUUCAAAACUCGCGGCUUUUCAUGGGAAAUUCCAUUCUCUACAACUUUGCAGAAGAAAGUUUUUCCAAAUUCCAAACAGAAAUUGACCAAAAUCCAUAAACGGGCG
RNAcentral lists this long non-coding RNA (236 nucleotides) under Panax ginseng (ginseng). RNAcentral describes it as "long non-coding RNA (PGIN_LNC014742)". Lineage: Eukaryota; Viridiplantae; Streptophyta; Magnoliopsida; Apiales; Araliaceae. The record is from RNAcentral.